This 287-nucleotide long non-coding RNA is filed under the name Salmo salar (Atlantic salmon). Its description in RNAcentral is "lncRNA (ENSSSAG00000117425.1)". Lineage: Eukaryota; Metazoa; Chordata; Actinopteri; Salmoniformes; Salmonidae. The record is from RNAcentral.
GGGUAGUGUGUGUGUGUUACCUGUAAGGACUAGAUGUAGGGGUAGUGUGUGUGUGUUACCUGUAAGGGCUAGAUGUAGGGGUAGUGUGUGUGUGUUACCUGUAAGGGCUAGGUGUAGGGGUAGUGUGUGUGUGUUACCUGUAAGGACUAGGUGUAGGGGUAGUGUGUGUGUGUUACCUGUAAGGACUAGGUGUAGGGGUAGUGUGUGUGUGUUACCUGUAAGGACUAGAUGUAGGGGUAGUGUGUGUGUGUUACCUGUAAGGACUAGAUGUAGGGGUAGUGUGUGUG